RNAcentral lists this ribosomal RNA (671 nucleotides) under Streptomyces galilaeus. RNAcentral's name for it is "bacterial SSU rRNA". It matches the Rfam family "Bacterial small subunit ribosomal RNA", at positions 75 to 762 of the family's 1533-position model. Lineage: Bacteria; Bacillati; Actinomycetota; Actinomycetes; Kitasatosporales; Streptomycetaceae. The record is from RNAcentral.
GCCCUUCGGGGUGGAUUAGUGGCGAACGGGUGAGUAACACGUGGGCAAUCUGCCCUUCACUCUGGGACAAGCCCUGGAAACGGGGUCUAAUACCGGAUAACACUUCUGCCCGCAUGGGUGGGGGUUAAAAGCUCCGGCGGUGAAGGAUGAGCCCGCGGCCUAUCAGCUUGUUGGUGAGGUAGUGGCUCACCAAGGCGACGACGGGUAGCCGGCCUGAGAGGGCGACCGGCCACACUGGGACUGAGACACGGCCCAGACUCCUACGGGAGGCAGCAGUGGGGAAUAUUGCACAAUGGGCGAAAGCCUGAUGCAGCGACGCCGCGUGAGGGAUGACGGCCUUCGGGUUGUAAACCUCUUUCAGCAGGGAAGAAGCGAAAGUGACGGUACCUGCAGAAGAAGCGCCGGCUAACUACGUGCCAGCAGCCGCGGUAAUACGUAGGGCGCAAGCGUUGUCCGGAAUUAUUGGGCGUAAAGAGCUCGUAGGCGGCUUGUCACGUCGGGUGUGAAAGCCCGGGGCUUAACCCCGGGUCUGCAUUCGAUACGGGCUAGCUAGAGUGUGGUAGGGGAGAUCGGAAUUCCUGGUGUAGCGGUGAAAUGCGCAGAUAUCAGGAGGAACACCGGUGGCGAAGGCGGAUCUCUGGGCCAUUACUGACGCUGAGGAGCGAAAGCGU